RNAcentral lists this ribosomal RNA (371 nucleotides) under uncultured bacterium. Its description in RNAcentral is "bacterial SSU rRNA". It matches the Rfam family "Bacterial small subunit ribosomal RNA", at positions 527 to 896 of the family's 1533-position model. The record is from RNAcentral.
GUAGGAGGCGAGCGUUAUCCGGAUUCACUGGGCGUAAAGCGCGUGCAGGCGGUUUGGUAAGUUGGGCGUGAAAGCUCCCGGCUCAACUGGGAGAGGUCGUUCAAUACUACCAAACUAGAGAAUAGAAGAGGAAGAUGGAAUUCCCGGUGUAGUGGUGAAAUGCGUAGAUAUCGGGAGGAACACCAGUGGCGAAGGCGGUCUUCUGGUCUAUUUCUGACGCUCAGACGCGACAGCUAGGGUAGUAAACGGGAUUAGAGACCCCGGUAAUCCUAGCCGUAAACGAUGUGAACUUGGCGUCGGUGGCUUAAACACCAUCGGUGCCGAAGCAAACGCGAUAAGUUCACCGCCUGGGGACUACGGCCGCAAGGUUA